This 497-nucleotide ribosomal RNA is filed under the name uncultured bacterium. Its description in RNAcentral is "partial 16S ribosomal RNA". It matches the Rfam family "Bacterial small subunit ribosomal RNA", at positions 28 to 507 of the family's 1533-position model. The record is from RNAcentral.
GAUGAACGCUGGCGGCGUGCCUAAUACAUGCAAGUCGAGCGAACAGAUGAGGAGCUUGCUCCUCUGACGUUAGCAGCGGACGGGUGAGUAACACGUGGAUAACCUACCUAUAAGACUGGGAUAACUUCGGGAAACCGGAGCUAAUACCGGAUAAUAUAUUGAACCGCAUGGUUCAAUAGUGAAAGACGGUUUUGCUGUCACUUAUAGAUGGAUCCGCGCCGCAUUAGCUAGUUGGUAAGGUAACGGCUUACCAAGGCAACGAUGCGUAGCCGACCUGAGAGGGUGAUCGGCCACACUGGAACCGAGACACGGUCCAGACUCCUACGGGAGGCAGCAGUAGGGAAUCUUCCGCAAUGGGCGAAAGCCUGACGGAGCAACGCCGCGUGAGUGAUGAAGGUCUUCGGAUCGUAAAACUCUGUUAUUAGGGAAGAACAAAUGUGUAAGUAACUAUGCACGUCUUGACGGUACCUAAUCAGAAAGCCACGGCUAACUACGUG